This 562-nucleotide long non-coding RNA is filed under the name Homo sapiens (human). RNAcentral's name for it is "non-protein coding lnc-CNTN2-4:1". The record is from RNAcentral. Lineage: Eukaryota; Metazoa; Chordata; Mammalia; Primates; Hominidae.
AGGUCCUGGCACUCUAUGGCCGAGGCCAUCUCCUGGGCCUCCUGUACUGCUGGGCUGGAAGGUGGUGGUCAUGUACGGCGAGGGCAUUGGCAUUUCUGGCAAUUUCUAUAGAAACAAGUUAAAGUACCUGGCCUUCCUCUGCAAGUGGAUGAACACCAACCCUUCCCGAGGCCCCCACCAUCCCUGGGCUGCCAGCCUUCUUUUUCGGCAGACCCCACGGGGCAUGCUACCCCACAAGACCAAGCGAGGCCAGCCGCCCUGGACCGCCUCAUGGUGUGUGAUGGGAUCCCACCGCCCCUGACACAAACAAGCAGAUGGUGAUCCCUGCUGCCCUCAAGGCUGAGCAUCUGAAGCCCACAAGAAAGUUUGCUUGCCUGGGGCACCUGUCUCAUAAGGUUGACUGGAAGUACCAGGCAGUGAUAGCCACCCUGGAGGAAAAGAGGAGGGAAAAGGCCAAGAUCCACUACCAAAAGAAACAGCAGCAGAAACAGGCCCAAAAGAACGGGGAGAAGAAAAUUGCAAGUUCACAGGGGUCCUCAAGACCCAUGGGCUUCUGGUCUGA